Molecule: ribosomal RNA, 254 nt
Filed under: uncultured bacterium
Lineage: Bacteria
Description: partial 16S ribosomal RNA
Rfam family: Bacterial small subunit ribosomal RNA
Source: RNAcentral
UACAGAGGGGGCGAGCGUUGUUCGGAAUUACUGGGCGUAAAGGGCGCGUAGGCGGCCAGCACAAGUCAGUUGUGAAAUCUCCGAGCUUAACUCGGAAAGGUCAACUGAUACUGUGCGGCUAGAGUGCGGAAGGGGCAACUGGAAUUCUUGGUGUAGCGGUGAAAUGCGUAGAUAUCAAGAGGAACACCUGCGGCGAAGGCGGGUUGCUGGGCCGACACUGACGCUGAGGCGCGAAAGCCAGGGGAGCGAACGGG